GCCAGGAUAGUUCAAUGGUAGAACGUUAAUUUCAUGCAUUAAAUAUGAGAAUUCAAGUUUCUCUCC
Molecule: transfer RNA, 66 nt
Filed under: Leptogium corticola
Lineage: Eukaryota; Fungi; Ascomycota; Lecanoromycetes; Peltigerales; Collemataceae
Description: tRNA-Ile
Rfam family: tRNA
About the family: Transfer RNA (tRNA) molecules are approximately 80 nucleotides in length. Their secondary structure includes four short double-helical elements and three loops (D, anti-codon, and T loops). Further hydrogen bonds mediate the characteristic L-shaped molecular structure. tRNAs have two regions of fundamental functional importance: the anti-codon, which is responsible for specific mRNA codon recognition, and the 3' end, to which the tRNAs corresponding amino acid is attached (by aminoacyl-tRNA synthetases). tRNAs cope with the degeneracy of the genetic code in two manners: having more than one tRNA (with a specific anti-codon) for a particular amino acid; and 'wobble' base-pairing, i.e. permitting non-standard base-pairing at the 3rd anti-codon position.
Source: RNAcentral